RNAcentral lists this long non-coding RNA (352 nucleotides) under Canis lupus familiaris (dog). RNAcentral describes it as "lncRNA (ENSCAFG00000054727.1)". The record is from RNAcentral. Lineage: Eukaryota; Metazoa; Chordata; Mammalia; Carnivora; Canidae.
GUGUUUGAAGCUUCUUGGUGCAAGAUUCAGUGCUGCUACAAAAACUUUGUGAGCAAGGCACAAGCCACCCUGCCCAGAGACCAAGAACUGGGUGCUGACAGCCGUUCCUGGGAGGCUUUUGGAGGUGUGAUGCCUGGGUCCAGAGUUUUCUUCUGCAGAUUCUUCUCUCCCUGCAAGGAAGUGGAGAGAGACUGGCCUUGGCGCUGAUUGAUUGCAGAUGAAUCCCAGUCCUUCUUUUACUGUGGGGCUAUCUUAACGCCUCUGAACUUCUGUCUUCAGGUGCGCAAACACAGGCUUCAGUACUCCCUUCCCUUUGGGAGGGGCAGGACCAAGGACUGGCGGCCUGCGGCUG